GACGAACCGUGCGAACGUUGGUCGGAUUCACUGGGCUUAAAGGGCGCGUAGGCGGGCUCGCAAGUCUGUGGUGAAAGCCCCCAGCUCAACUGGGGAAGUGCCGUGGAUACUGCAAGUCUGGAGGAGGGUAGGGGCAUCUGGAACGCUGGGUGGAGCGGUGAAAUGCAUUGAUAUCCAGCGGAACUCCGGUGGCGAAGGCGAGGUGCUGGACCCUUUCUGACGCUGAGUGCGCGAAAGCCAGGGGAGCAAACGGG
This 254-nucleotide ribosomal RNA is filed under the name uncultured bacterium. RNAcentral describes it as "partial 16S ribosomal RNA". It matches the Rfam family "Bacterial small subunit ribosomal RNA", at positions 524 to 776 of the family's 1533-position model. The record is from RNAcentral.